AUUGAACGCUGGCGGCAGGCCUAACACAUGCAAGUCGAGCGGACGAAGGGAGCUUGCUCUUGGAUUCGGCGGCGGACGGGUGAGUAAUGCCUAGGAAUCUGCCUGGUCGUGGGGGAUAACGUCCGGAAACGGGAGCUAAUACCGCAUACGUCCUGAGGGAGAAAGUGGGGGAUCUUCGGACCUCAAGCUACUAGAUGAGCCUAGGUCAGAUUAGCUAGUUGGUGGGGUAAAGGCCUACCAAGGCGACGAUCCGUAACUGGUCUGAGAGGCUGAUCAGUCACACUGGAACUGAGACACGGUCCAGACUCCUACGGGAGGCAGCAGUGGGGAAUAUUGGACAAUGGGCGAAAGCCUGAUCCAGCCAUGCCGCGUGUGUGAAGAAGGUCUUCGGAUUGUAAAGCACUUUAAGUUGGGAGGAAGAGCAGUAAGUUAAUACCUUGCUGUUUUGACGUUACCAACAGAAUAAGCACCGGCUAACUUCGUG
RNAcentral lists this ribosomal RNA (484 nucleotides) under uncultured bacterium. RNAcentral describes it as "partial 16S ribosomal RNA". It matches the Rfam family "Bacterial small subunit ribosomal RNA", at positions 30 to 507 of the family's 1533-position model. The record is from RNAcentral.